RNAcentral lists this ribosomal RNA (1476 nucleotides) under metagenome. Its description in RNAcentral is "bacterial SSU rRNA". It matches the Rfam family "Bacterial small subunit ribosomal RNA". The record is from RNAcentral.
AGAGUUUGAUCCUGGCUCAGGAUGAACGCUGGCGGAAUGCUUAACACAUGCAAGUCGACUUGAAAGUAUCUUCGGAUAUGAUUAGGGUGGCGGACGGGUGAGUAACGCGUGAAGAACCUACCCUUUAGACAUGGAUAACUUCUCGAAAGAGGAGCUAAAACGAGAUGAGCCGUAUUUAAGGCAUCUUAGAUACGGGAAAACUAUAUGUGCUAAAGGAGGGCUUCGCGUUCCAUUAGCUAGUUGGUGGGGUAACGGCCUACCAAGGCGACGAUGGAUAGCCGGCCUUAACGGGUGAUCGGCCACAAGGGAACUGAGACACGGUCCUUACUCCUACGGGAGGCAGCAGUGGGGAAUAUUGGACAAUGGGGGAGACCCUGAUCCAGCAAUUCCGCGUGGAUGAUGAAGGCUUUCGGGUUGUAAAGUCCUUUUAUAAGGGAAGAAAGAAAUGACGGUACCUUAAGAAGAAGCCACGGCUAAUUACGUGCCAGCAGCCGCGGUAAGACGUAAGUGGCAAGCGUUAUCCGGAAUUACUAGGCGUAAAGGGCAUCUAGGCGGUCUAAUAAGUCAGGGGUGAAAAGUCUGGGCUCAACCGAGGCCUUGCCUUUGAAACUGUUAGACUAGAGUACAGGAGAGGAGGGCGGAACUACAAGUGUAGCGGUGAAAUGCGUAGAUAUUUGUAGGAAUGCCAAUGACGAAGGUAGCUCUCUGGACUGUAACUGACGCUAAAGUGCGAAAGCUAGGGGAGCAAACAGGAUUAGAUACCCUGGUAAUCCUAGCUGUAAACGAUGGAUACUGGGUGUGGGGUGUCACAGCUCCGUGCCGAAGCAAACGCAUUAAGUAUCCCGCCUGGGGAGUACGUUCGCAAGAAUGAAACUCAAAGGAAUUGACGGGGACCCGCACAAGCGGUGGAGCGUGUGGUUUAAUUCGACGCAACGCGAGGAACCUUACCAGGUCUUGACAUCCAUGGAAUCUUUUAGAGAUAGAAGAGUGCCCCUUUGGGGAGCCAUGAGACAGGUGGUGCAUGGCUGUCGUCAGCUCGUGCCGUGAGGUGUUGGGUUAAGUCCCGCAACGAGCGCGACCCUUAUCAAUAGUUACCAUCAUUAAGUUGGGGACUCUAUUGAGACUGCCUGCGACGAGCAGGAGGAAGGUGGGGAUGACGUCAAGUCAUCAUGCCCCUUAUGACCUGGGCUACACACGUGCUACAAUGGAGGAUACAAAGGGAAGCGAAAGGGUGACCUGAAGCGAAACCCAGAAAAUCUUUCUUAGUUCGGAUUGCAGUCUGCAACUCGACUGCAUGAGGCUGGAAUCGCUAGUAAUCGCAAAUCAGCAAUGUUGCGGUGAAUACGUUCUCGGGUCUUGUACACACCGCCCGUCACACCACGAGAGUUUUUUGCACCUGAAGUUGCUGGCCCAACCCGUAAGGGAGGGAAGUACCUAAGGUGUGGGGGAUGAUUGGGGUGAAGUCGUAACAAGGUA